UUCCGACACCGGGAAUCGAACCCGGGCCUCCUGGGUGAGAGCUAGGUAUCCUAGACAUAGGACCAUGCCGGA
RNAcentral lists this transfer RNA (72 nucleotides) under Cordylochernes scorpioides. Its description in RNAcentral is "tRNA-Glu". Lineage: Eukaryota; Metazoa; Arthropoda; Arachnida; Pseudoscorpiones; Chernetidae. The record is from RNAcentral.